CCUACGGGAGACAGCAGUGAGGAAUAUUGGUCAAUGGACGAGAGUCUGAACCAGCCAAGUAGCGUGAAGGAUGACGGCCCUAUGGGUUGUAAACUUCUUUUAUAAGGGAAUAAAACGAGGCACGUGUGCCUUAUUGCAUGUACUGUAUGAAUAAGGAUCGGCUAACGCCGUGCCGGCAGCCGCGGUAAUACGGAGGGUCCGAGCGUUAUCCGGAUUUAUUGGGGUGAAAGGGAGCGUAGAUGGGUUGUUAAGGCAGUUGUGAAAGUUUGCGGCUCAACCCUAGAAUUGCAAUUGAUACUGGCAGUCUUGAGUACACUUGAGGUAGGCGGAAUUCGUGGUGUAGCGGU
Molecule: ribosomal RNA, 347 nt
Filed under: uncultured bacterium
Lineage: Bacteria
Description: partial 16S ribosomal RNA
Rfam family: Bacterial small subunit ribosomal RNA
Source: RNAcentral